Molecule: ribosomal RNA, 445 nt
Filed under: uncultured bacterium
Lineage: Bacteria
Description: SSU rRNA
Rfam family: Bacterial small subunit ribosomal RNA
Source: RNAcentral
AGAGCGAACGCUGGCGGCAGGCCUAAAACAUGCAAGUCGAACGGAUCCUUCGGGAUUAGUGGCGGACGGGUGAGUAACACGUGGGAACGUGCCUUUUGGUUCGGAACAACUCAGGGAAACUUGAGCUAAUACCGAAUGUGCCCUUCGGGGGAAAGAUUUAUCGCCAUUAGAGCGGCCCGCGUCUGAUUAGCUAGUUGGUGAGGUAAAGGCUCACCAAGGCUACGAUCAGUAGCUGGUCUGAGAGGAUGAUCAGCCACACUGGGACUGAGACACGGCCCAGACUCCUACGGGAGGCAGCAGUUAGGAAUCUUGCGCAAUGGGCGAAAGCCUGACGCAGCCAUGCCGCGUGAAUGAUGAAGGUCUUAGGAUUGUAAAUUCUUUCAGCGGGGACGAUAAUGACGGUACCCGCAGAAGAAGCUCCGGCUAACUUCGUGCCAGCAGCCGC